GACGAACGCUGGCGGCGCGCCUAAUACAUGCAAGUCGAACGGGCACCUUCGGGUGUCAGUGGCGGACGGGUGAGUAACACGUGGGUGAUUUGCCUUCUGGUGGGGAAUAACUCUGGGAAACCAGAGCUAAUACCGCAUGAGCUUAGCCAUUCAGUUGAUUAAGUAAAGAUAUAUUGCCAGAAGAGAAGCCUGCGGCGGAUUAGCUAGUCGGUGGGGUAAUGGCCUACCGAGGCAACGAUCCGUAGCUGGUCUGAGAGGACGACCAGCCACACUGGGACUGAGACACGGCCCAGACUCCUACGGGAGGCAGCAGUAAGGAAUAUUCCACAAUGGGCGCAAGCCUGAUGGAGCGACGCCGCGUGAGCGAAGAAGCCCUUCGGGUGUGAAGCUCUUUUCCCAGGGAUGAAACGGACAGUACCUGGGAAUAAGCCCCGGCUAACUACGUGCCAGCAGCCGCCGUAAC
This 463-nucleotide ribosomal RNA is filed under the name uncultured bacterium. RNAcentral's name for it is "bacterial SSU rRNA". It matches the Rfam family "Bacterial small subunit ribosomal RNA", at positions 28 to 524 of the family's 1533-position model. The record is from RNAcentral.